UGCACAUCAUUACUUCAGGUUUCUGAGAGCUCCAAAAGCACACCCACUAACGCUACAUUUUGUACCACAACUCAUCUGUGCAACCCGGUAGGAAACUUCAGCAAGCCCUCCAGCAGAUCAUGGAGCACAUGGCUGCGACAGCGCAUGAGCUGCACGUCCUGCACCGUG
Molecule: non-coding RNA, 168 nt
Organism: Electrophorus electricus (electric eel)
Lineage: Eukaryota; Metazoa; Chordata; Actinopteri; Gymnotiformes; Gymnotidae
Source: RefSeq, a predicted model, not a curated record